CAGCACCUCAAGUGGUCAGGAUGAUUAUUGGGCCUAAAGCAUCCGUAGCCGGCGCUGUAAGUUUUCGGUUAAAUCUGUACGCUCAACGUACAGGCUGCCGGGAAUACUGCAGCGCUAGGGAGUGGGAGAGGUAGACGGUACUCGGUAGGAAGGGGUAAAAGACUUUGAUCUAUUGAUGACCACCUGUGGCGAAGGCGGUCUACCAGAACACGUCCGACGGUGAGGGAUGAAAGCUGGGGGAGCAAACCGGAUUAGAUACCCGAGUAGUCC
Molecule: ribosomal RNA, 270 nt
Filed under: uncultured archaeon
Lineage: Archaea
Description: partial 16S ribosomal RNA
Rfam family: Archaeal small subunit ribosomal RNA
Source: RNAcentral